Molecule: ribosomal RNA, 253 nt
Filed under: uncultured bacterium
Lineage: Bacteria
Description: partial 16S ribosomal RNA
Rfam family: Bacterial small subunit ribosomal RNA
Source: RNAcentral
UACGGAGGGGGCAAGCGUUAUCCGGAUUCAUUGGGUUUAAAGGGUGCGUAGGUGGGCAGGUAAUUCAGUGGUGAAAUCUCCGGGCUUAACCCGGAAACUGCCAUUGAUACUAUUUGUCUUGAAUACUGUGGAGGUCAGCGGAAUAUGUCAUGUAGCGGUGAAAUGCUUAGAUAUGACAUAGAACACCAAUUGCGAAGGCAGCUGGCUACACAAAUAUUGACACUGAGGCACGAAAGCGUGGGGAUCAAACAGG